UGUUAUGACUAACUGCUCCCCC
Molecule: non-coding RNA, 22 nt
Filed under: Rattus norvegicus (Norway rat)
Lineage: Eukaryota; Metazoa; Chordata; Mammalia; Rodentia; Muridae
Source: RNAcentral